This 372-nucleotide ribosomal RNA is filed under the name uncultured organism. Its description in RNAcentral is "bacterial SSU rRNA". It matches the Rfam family "Bacterial small subunit ribosomal RNA", at positions 526 to 896 of the family's 1533-position model. The record is from RNAcentral.
CGGGGGGGGCAAGCGUUGUUCGGAAUUACUGGGCGUAAAGGGCUCGUAGGCGGCCAACUAAGUCAGACGUGAAAUCCCCAGGCUCAACCUGGGAACUGCGUCUGAUACUGGAUGGCUUGAAUCCGGGAGAGGGAUGCAGAAUUCCAGGUGUAGCGGUGAAAUGCGUAGAUAUCUGGAGGAAUACCGGUGGCGAAGGCGGCAUCCUGGACCGGCAUUGACGCUGAGGAGCGAAAGCCAGGGGAGCAAACGGGAUUAGAUACCCCGGUAGUCCUGGCCCUAAACGAUGAAUGCUUGGUGUAACGAGUAUCGAUCCCUGUUGUGCCGAAGCUAACGCAUUAAGCAUUCCGCCUGGGGAGUACGGUCGCAAGGCUG